AGUGAACGCUGGCGGUAGGCCUAACACAUGCAAGUCGAACGGCAGCACAGUAAGAGCUUGCUCUUACGGGUGGCGAGUGGCGGACGGGUGAGGAAUACAUCAGAAUCUACUUUUUCGUGGGGGAUAACGUAGGGCAACUUACGCUAAUACCGCAUACGACCUACGGGUGAAAGCAGUAGAUCUUCGGACCUUGCGCGAUUGAAUGAGCUGAUGUCGGAUUAGCUAGGUGGCGGGGUAAAGGCCCACCAAGGCAACGAUCCGUAGCUGGCCUGAGAGGACGAUAGGCCCAACCGGAACUGGGACACGGUCCCGACUCCCACGGGAGGCAGCAGGAGGGAAAUUUUGGAAAAGGGCGAAAGCCUGACGCAGCACCGCCGCGGGGGGGAAGAAGGGCUUCGGGUUGUAAAACCCUUUUUUUAGGGAAAAAAAAACGGGUAGGUAACUACCCACUUUUUGACGGUACCCAAAAAGAAAGCCACGGCUAACUUCGUG
This 492-nucleotide ribosomal RNA is filed under the name uncultured bacterium. RNAcentral's name for it is "partial 16S ribosomal RNA". It matches the Rfam family "Bacterial small subunit ribosomal RNA", at positions 29 to 507 of the family's 1533-position model. The record is from RNAcentral.